This 1061-nucleotide long non-coding RNA is filed under the name Panax ginseng (ginseng). RNAcentral's name for it is "long non-coding RNA (PGIN_LNC016644)". Lineage: Eukaryota; Viridiplantae; Streptophyta; Magnoliopsida; Apiales; Araliaceae. The record is from RNAcentral.
UUACAAUCUCAUAUAUCAUAACAAUUAAAACCAUUCACCAAUAAUAUCAUACUAUAAUUAGAGAUUAAUCUGAGUCUCAAAAGCAUCCACCAUUUGCCUAAACUACAUAUUCAUCUACUUGACAAAAGACACCAGAAACUGAACCACAUUGAGAUGCAGAAGACAUUCACAAAUGCCAUUCAACAUGGUGACAUAAAACAACAUUCACAACACCUUCAGUGCGCUGCACUCGACUCAACACUUCAAUCUGUGUACAUUGCAUAAUAGAAAUCAAGCUUCUGAGCACCUAUUAAGUUUUCUUAGUCAAACAAACCACCUGUGCCUAAUCCCCUUCGCAGCAACUCCUUUCAACGCAGCUCUUCUAAAGGAUCUGGACUCUUCAUUAUUCUUCUCAUUUGUCUGAAAAUAAAAUCAAGGCCAAUUUAAUUAUAAGCUUCAAAUAAAAUGCUUAAUCAGUUCCUGAAUCUUUAUUCAUCAGUCCUAGAAUACCUGUCUUGAGCAUGUUGAGCAGGAAAAGUAGACACUGCUGCAUUCUGCAAACCCAACAAUAAAUAAAAUUAAAAUACUUUACACUAAAAAAUUAAUGUUGUAGCAUGAAACAUUCGAAAAUAUAAGUACAUAUAUGCAAAGACCUCCAAAAUUAUCAAAGCAAAAUUUCUCCACAACUAUCAAAUCAAAGAGCCAUAUAAUAUACUAAACAGGGUAUCCACACCAUAAAUCAUCACAUUAGAAAAUCAAAACCAACAAAACCAACAGAGUGACUAAUUUCCUCUCAAGAAGCUUAAUGGGCUUGACGAAAUCAAAACCCCUAAAAUGAACCCUAGGAUUCGUUCAUUUGGUUGCAACAGAAAAUUAGAAAAUACCUUGCGAAUGCGUCGGUCGGGGUCUUGCCGUUUGCGUCGCCGGAGUUUUCGACCGGAGUUUUUUCUUAACCUAUUGACCCGAUUUGGAAUCCAUCAGUUUUUUCCCAACCCAUUCAAAUCAGAUCCUGGACCGUUGGAUAUCAUCCAAUGGAUGAGAAGGAAAGUUCGGAAUUUAAGCCAAAUCUGGGAGACCGGAUG